GAGUAACAGAAAACAACAUCAUCAAACGAGAUCAAGUAACGGAAAACUUGAUCAUCAACCAGGAUCGAAAAAUUCAAUUAUCUUCAUCUCCUCCUUUGGAGACAGAACUCUUGAUCAUCAACCAUAACUUCUCUUUGCAUAGUAGUUUGACUGAUCCAGAAUUUGCACCGUAUAAGAGAAAACGUGGCCUCAAAAUUACAAAAACCUUUUGCACGAUUCAAGAGAAAUCAUGUGCAUCAGUUUGCAUAACCUCCACGGGCCAAAAACAAAACUCACGGCAAAAGCAAAAACUCACGGAACAUGCACAGUGGCCUUGCACCGUGACGUUGAUGCAACAGGAUUUGCUACCUGUUUUAUUUUAAGUUUCGAAGGGGUCUUUCAAAAAAAUGAACGUAACGAUGGCCACUGAACCCUUAGCUUCAACUCGUUGACGAAUCUACAUAACAUGGACUAUGAUCUAGAGAGAUGAAGCAACCCCCGUUGAGCAAUGAAUCGCUACGGAUAGAUCAACCUGGCUCUGAUACCAUGUUAGAAUUUGUGAGAGCAUAGAAUGGAGAGUGGAGAGAGAAGAAGAGAGAACACGACAUUUGCGUGGUUCAGGCCCAAGACUUACGUCAACGGAUCCAAAGCCCAACGGGCUACAUCUUCACUAUUUUUCGAUGAAUGUUUACAUCAAGAAGUACCCGAGAAAUCCAUAUCCUAACAGGAAGUGGGCAUGCUUGCUCAACUGAUCUGCCACUAUGAAGAUAAUUAUUGUCUUCCCAUGUGAGUUUCGACACUGUUCAUGAAGUCCAUUGAGAUAUCACUCCAGUCUAUGUGGGAAUAUGGAGGGGUUAUAAUAUACUUGGGGACCCUACUAUCUCUCUCUUUUGCCUCUGACACACGUCACAUUCAACUACAGAUUUGUAUGUGUCGCUUGAUCCCUCUCCAAUAAAAGGACUUAAACCUUCUCUUCUAAAUUUUGGGGAAUGCUGAAUGGCUCGCAAUAGGGGAUCUUUUGUAGCUCCUUGAACAAUAUGUUUCUAUAGAGGGAUUUAGGUGGCAACACCAUUCUACCCUUCAUUCCUCCAACUGCAAUUGGGCCUUGCCUUCCUAUGGGUUCUAUUUGCAGGUCUUGUGCAAGGUCCCUUAAAGUUCCAUCAACUGCCCAUUCUUACUUAAUUUCUUCCAUUCGAAGAGAUCGAGGCUUUGAUACACAGCAAGGAGAGUAGCUGCCACUUUGUGAUGUUGCGAGUGAGCAUCAGCCACCACAUUCUCCUUUCCUCUCAUAGUCGUGUAGCCCUUCUGACCUACUUUUGUCUCCAUCAUUUAGAGGUUCUUUGUUCCAAGAAAUAUUUUAUGCCCUGAUGAUAGGUAUGAAUGAUGAAUGAUAUGAGGCUCUAUUAGUCGACUAAGUAAGGCUUCCAUUUGGUAACUACAUGAAUAAUGGUUGGCAGUUCUAUAUCAUAGUUGUGGGAACCUUGGGGUUAAGGCCACGGUCCCACCAUAAGAACUCGAUCUCGUUGUUCCUUUGAGGGAUCUUAAAGGGAGCUGGAUUUAGAGAUAUAGGGAUCUUGCUCCUUAUGAAAUGGGAUAUCGGUUUUCAUGAUUGUAGAAUCCCUUCAAGGAGGUGAGAUAUAAUAUUAAACUAUGGUGCAUAUCACAUUGUGGUAUACUGGAAUUAUGGUAUUAAAAAACUAUAUGUUAAUAACAUAGUAAGCCAAUUUGUGAUAUCGUUAAACUAUGUUAUUGUAGUAAAUUGGAGUACUAUGACUAUGGCAUUAGUAAUAAGCAAAGGUGUAUGAUAAAGGAUUCAGCAAGCAUUAGCUCGAUCCUAAUUUUAUCAUAUGCUAUUAAUUGAUAUCUUUUUAUGUGUAGUGGAGCUUAGAUCCCUCCAAGUCAAAACCUUGAACCCAAUGACAUAGGAUCUCACUCUCAGGUAUCCUAGGAUCUAGCUCCUUAACAUGUUGAAUGUAUAUACGCCGAUCCUAACCAUAUGGAGCUUCCACCCUGUGGGGGUUCGGUGUUCCUCGAACCAAUCCCGCUUCUACUCCCGAACCCACUCCCGCCUCCAACAAAUAUAUUCUAUAUCAAUGUGGAAAGUGUUGUGCUGUUUCCAGAAAGAGCCUUACGAAUGCAAGCCAAGGGUUGCCCCUUUUAUAUGGAUACCAUGCCUCUUUUGUCCCUAAUCCGUAUGGCUCAAUGAUGAAUGGGUUUGAGAAGUAUUGCAAGGCUGAUACAACUACAGUGCUCUUCUCUCUCUUCAAGGCAUUAGAGGCAAACUAGGCCUUAUUUGAUUGAUCAGGGAGCUGAUUUUGCCAUAGUCCUUGACUAACUUCAUUCAAUCCAAUGAGUCUCGAAAACUUACUCUUUUCGAAAUAUCCUCCUCCUUUAUUUGGAUCUGAUGGUUUGAGACUUUGGGGAUCAAAGAUCAAGUUUGGAGAAGUGUUGAACUCCAUAGUGCUCACCUAGUAAUUCAUCAAUCACUGGUAUAAUUUAUCCUUGACCAUGAUUAAGUCCAAUGCUCUGAAGUCCACAGUCCACUUUCAUUCUCCAUGAGCCAUCCUUUUUUUUUUGUUUGACCAAGAGCACUUUGUGAGGCACAAGGGGCAUGACCCAGAAUGAUAAUGCCUACCCUGUCAUAUUCUGGACUUGCUUUCCAAUCUUUGCUUUUUGCACAAAUGGGCUCAUGCCGUUUUUUUUUGACCAAGAGCACUUGUGAGGAAUAAGGACAUGACCCAGAAGGAUAAUGCCUACCUCUGUCAUUUUCUGGACCUGCUUUCUAAUCUUUGAUUUUUGUACAAAUGGCCACAUAUGGCCGAAUGUUAGGUGAUGGGUUCUUGAAAAUAACGUAAUUGGAUGAUAAUAAAAGUGUUGGGGAGGCAACUCCAGUUCAGUUCAUCGAAUAGGUUGGUGAUGGGGUUCUUGGAAACAAAGUAAUUGGAUGCUAAUGGGAGUGUUGGGGAGGCAACUCCUUCAGUUCAUCUAAUAGGUUGAAAUGUUGCUCAUGUAAUGACACCACAGGUGCUCCACCUCUUUUAUGCACAGGUGGGUCACCUUCUUCUCGUUUUCCUUCUUUCUGAUUUUUGCAUCCAACAAAUAUAACUUCUGAUUUUUGCAUCAAUGUUGAGGGUUAUUUUAUUUACACAAUGGUAACAUUGACUAAUUCCUCGCCCUUCUCGCAUCUAGGCCGAUGAUGCUACUUGAUUUGUGGAAAGGGUUGCUGUGUAAGAGUUCUGGUUAUGGGAACUGCAAUUUCCUUUGUUUUGACAUUGUUGGGCCAUUAUUUUGUCCUGUUGAAGUCUAGCUAAACCAAUAGCCUCCAAUAAUAUUUUGUGCUUAAACAUACAUACGUCAAGCCUAAUCUAUUCAUUAAGAAUCAUAUAAAAACACUACAUCACUAAGACAGAUGGUACUAUUUGCUAACCUAUCUGAUUUUCAUGAACAGUGGAGGUUUGUCAUUUUGCUUCGUUAGGGCUCUUUUUAAUGUCCUCUAUUUGGCCUGGGGUGAACUUAUUGUAGAGAUCAUUGCUCAUAUUAUAGUAACUGUUGGUCCUUCAUUACCAUUGGUACCAUCAUAUUGCUUCAUGCUCCAACUGAAAGGAUGCCAAAUGGGCCGUUUGUUCUUCCUCAUGAUACACACUUGUUGGGUCCCCCUUUCGUUUUUUGUUUUCGGUGGAAGUUUGAUGUGGGCUUCCUAAAUGAUCACCGUUUUGUUCAUGGGUGAUUAGGAAUGUCGACUUCCUGUUGGACGUUAGGAAGGAGGUCAAAAUCGAGUUAUACUUUCGGACCAUGGCUUAUAUCGUGGUCAGGAUGUCUCCAAAUGAGUUGAGACUUCUUCAUCUCUUGCUCUUUCUUACUUCUUGCGAUUAGUUCCCUUGGCCCUGGUUGAGCAGAAGAUCCAUGGUUGAGCUCUGUUACCAGAUGCAAUGAUUCCCAAGAAGAAGCAAGCAAAAGAUAACGAUCAGAGAUAGACGAGCAUGAGAUAUUAUUGAACUAUAAGGAUAGAGUGGGCACAGGUCCCUUCGAGGGGGCAAUUCUCCUAGAGAGACAUUCUCAAAGUUCAUCCUACAGCAGUUCUUGUAGUCAUCGAGAGAAACUCCCCUUCAUAUAUCACCACUUCAGUCCUAAAUAACUCCUAGCCAUUUAUUGAAUUUUUACACUGGUCAGCUUUUCAAUUUCCAAGUUUCAAAGAAACUAAAAGACUCCUACCAAGCUAUUGAAUUUCACACCCCCAAAGUCGUCAAAGGCACCAUUACACUUUUUCCCACUUCUACUAAAAGACUCCUACCAAGCUUUCCUUUUUACAAUCUAGACUUCUACUUCAUAGAGAACAAAGGGUACGAAAGUUUUACAUUUGAUUCACCCUUUCAGCAAAUAUUUGUUUCAAAUCUUUGGAUUUGGAAGGUAUGGCAUAAUACAUCAUUACCAUGGACCAUGGUUCCUCGUAAGUUUCUUUCACUCUGUUCCUGCAGAUGAUGGUUGGAGAAUACCUGGGUUUAUGUCCUGAUGGUGAUCCACUACAAUUACAAACAGGGUGUCUUAACAUUAGGAAUCAGGCUUGGGCCAAGGCAGUAGCAGCUGGGUUUUUUUUGGACUACGUCUGAAGUUCCAUUCCUAUGUAACUUUGUCAAAAAAGAAAAAAAAAAACAGGGUAUAUUAACGUUGAAUGUUAUAAUCCAUUUGACUAUGGUGUAUAGUUGCAUGUUUAAAAUUCUCUAGCCCUGAUUUUUGGCCAAGUGCUUAUGUGCCCUACCAAAAUUUGAUGGAAUUUGGUAAAAAAAAAAAUUAUAUGCUCCUGCGGGAGCAUAUUGUACAUUCACUCGCCCAGGUAAAAUCCGUAUCUAUGAUGAGUAUUUUCAGGACACCGGGGUUUAACCACCUCAACCUACUGACUGACUAGCCUUCAAAAAACAGAAACAAAAUAACGCCAUCUAUGGGUGCAUAAAAAAAAGUCCUAACAUUGAUAGGAAGUACCCAAAUGUCGGACAGCCAGAUGAGUGUACAGAACCUCAAAAUUUGUUUCCUUUGACAAUGCUAUUUUGUUGCCAAUACUUAUUUGGUGAUUGUAAAGUGAAGGCCAUAUCAGUUCGACAAAAUCCUCCUAUGCGGUUUUUUUGCCCGAGGGAGAUAGUUUAGAGUGUGCAUUUGCUGGAGUACCCUGUAUGCUUCUAAAACUAGGGACUAAUUAUUUGGGCUGAGUUGCCAUAUAUUUUUUGUUGACGUGAAUAAACUGUUAUGUGCAUGUUCUGUGAAGAUCAAGCUUGCAUCAGUGAAAUUGGCAAAGAAAUAUAUCAAAAGGGUGGCUUCUGAACUGGGAGCUGCCAUGAGUCCUGAAGAGAAAGAGGAGUUGAUUGUGCACGGCGUCCGAUUUGCUUUCAGGGUGCAUCAGUUUGCAGGAGGUUUUGAUGUCGACACCAUGCGAGCGUUUCAGGAGCUGAGAGAAAAGGCUGGUUCUUGUCAUGCAGAGUGCGAUGUUCAGCAAAACAAGCUCGUGUGCAGCAGCAGCAGCAGGAGGUCUACACCUUGUUAAUCCUGCCUUUUCAUAACUUCUAACCCAUUUUUUUGUAAGUUAGGAAAUCUCUCUCUCUCUCUCUCUCUAUUCUGAGUUUCUUCAGUGCAACGGUCUGAGAUACACCUACUAUGUACUGCCCUUGCUGCACAGUCCAAUGCCCUUGAGCUUGGUCGAAUACUUUCAUCCUUUUUGUAGUGUUUGCAUGGGCCCAAUCUUGUAUAGAGCUACGUCAACCAUUCCGUUGCGGGCUCAAAUUCAGUGUUCCAUUCGUCUCUCUCUCUAGUCUCUACGCGCACCAUGUCGAGAUGCCGCUGAUGUAUCCUAUCAAGUGUUUACCCAUGUAAAUGGUGGUGUAAUGCACUUUAUGUAUCUUCCCCAUAUUAAUGGAAAUGGAUGGCGUUCCCUUCCC
Molecule: non-coding RNA, 5903 nt
Organism: Amborella trichopoda
Lineage: Eukaryota; Viridiplantae; Streptophyta; Magnoliopsida; Amborellales; Amborellaceae
Source: RefSeq, a predicted model, not a curated record